This 340-nucleotide ribosomal RNA is filed under the name uncultured eukaryote. Its description in RNAcentral is "SSU rRNA". It matches the Rfam family "Eukaryotic small subunit ribosomal RNA", at positions 22 to 356 of the family's 1831-position model. The record is from RNAcentral.
AGUCAUAUGCUUGUCUCAAAGAUUAAGCCAUGCAUGUCUAAGUAUAAACAACUUUAUACUGUGAAACUGCGAACGGCUCAUUAUAUCAGCAAUAAUUUAUUUGAUGGUUCCUUACUACACGGAUAACUGUAGUAAUUCUAGAGCUAAUACGUGCGUAAAAUCCCGACUCUUGCGGGGAGGGAUGUAUUUAUUAGAUAAAAAGCCAGCGCGGGUUCUGCCCGGUUUUGUGGUGAAUCAUAGUAACUUUUCGAAUCGCAUGACUUCACGUCGGCGAUAGUUCAUUCAAAUUUCUGCCCUAUCAGCUUUCGACGGUAGUGUAGUGGACUACCGUGGCAUUAAC